RNAcentral lists this small RNA (101 nucleotides) under Arabidopsis thaliana (thale cress). Its description in RNAcentral is "ATSL017790". The record is from RNAcentral. Lineage: Eukaryota; Viridiplantae; Streptophyta; Magnoliopsida; Brassicales; Brassicaceae.
GAUUAUUUUUGUUACAUUACAAAAUGGUUCUGAAUAUGGCUUGAACCUUAGCAGGGAGACAGAUGAGAAACUCGACUGGUGCUCUAAUCCUCCCCGGCCUC